GACGUAGGGCGCAAGCGUUGUCCGGAUUUAUUGGGCGUAAAGAGCUCGUAGGCGGUGUGUCACGUCGGCCGUGAAAACCUGCAGCUUAACUGUGGGCGUGCGGUCGAUACGGGCAUCACUGGAGUUCGGCAGGGGAGACUGGAAUUCCUGGUGUAGCGGUGAAAUGCGCAGAUAUCAGGAGGAACACCGGUGGCGAAGGCGGGUCUCUGGGCCGAUACUGACGCUGAGGAGCGAAAGCGUGGGGAGCAAACAGG
RNAcentral lists this ribosomal RNA (254 nucleotides) under uncultured bacterium. RNAcentral's name for it is "partial 16S ribosomal RNA". It matches the Rfam family "Bacterial small subunit ribosomal RNA", at positions 524 to 776 of the family's 1533-position model. The record is from RNAcentral.